CUCAAGCUAUCCUCAAUAGAAAACAGCCCCUUUCAGAUUCUUUGAAAUCGAUCCCUUCACAGGCCACUUUGGCUGCUUUGCUCUUAUCUUCGCUAACACAACAAGCCUUGGCCUUAGACAACGCUACUCCACCCGCGCCACCACCUGUAAUCGAAUCCCAACCCACCAACACCCCUUCAAAUACCUCUCCUUUCUCCCAAAACCUUCUCCUUACUGCCCCAAAACCUCAAUCCCAAUCCACCUCUGACCUCCCUGAAGGCAGUCAAUGGCGAUACAGCGAGUUCCUCAACGCGGUCAAGAAGGGCAAAGUCGAGAGAGUUCGUUUCAGCAAAGAUGGUUCUGCCCUCCAGCUC
This 353-nucleotide unclassified non-coding RNA is filed under the name Hevea brasiliensis (rubber tree). The record is from RNAcentral. Lineage: Eukaryota; Viridiplantae; Streptophyta; Magnoliopsida; Malpighiales; Euphorbiaceae.